GCCCUGGUGGUCUAGCGGUAUGAUUCUUCCUUAGGGUUGUUGCCUAUUCAUCAACUUGGAAGAGGUCCCAGGUUCGAUCCCUGGCCAGGGCC
RNAcentral lists this transfer RNA (92 nucleotides) under Colletotrichum graminicola M1.001. Its description in RNAcentral is "tRNA-Pro for anticodon AGG". Lineage: Eukaryota; Fungi; Ascomycota; Sordariomycetes; Glomerellales; Glomerellaceae. The record is from RNAcentral.